This 487-nucleotide ribosomal RNA is filed under the name uncultured bacterium. RNAcentral's name for it is "bacterial SSU rRNA". It matches the Rfam family "Bacterial small subunit ribosomal RNA", at positions 17 to 518 of the family's 1533-position model. The record is from RNAcentral.
UCCUGGCUUAGGACGAACGCUGGCGGCGUGCCUAACACAUGCAAGUCGAGCGAUGAAGUUCUUCGGAACGGAUUAGCGGCGGACGGGUGAGUAACACGUGGGUAACCUGCCUUGUAGAGGGGGAUAGCCUUCCGAAAGGAAGAUUAAUACCGCAUAACAUCUUUUUAUCGCAUGGUAGAAAGAUCAAAAGGAGUAAUCCGCUACAAGAUGGACCCGCGGCGCAUUAGCUAGUUGGUGAGGUAACGGCUCACCAAGGCGACGAUGCGUAGCCGACCUGAGAGGGUGAUCGGCCACAUUGGAACUGAGACACGGUCCAGACUCCUACGGGAGGCAGCAGUGGGGAAUAUUGCGCAAUGGGGGGAAAAACCCCUGACGCAGCAACGCCGCGUGAAUGAAGAAGGCCUUAGGGUUGUAAAGUUCUGUUUACGGGGACGAUAAUGACGGUACCCGUGGAGGAAGCCACGGCUAACUACGUGCCAGCAGCCGC